Molecule: ribosomal RNA, 249 nt
Filed under: uncultured Actinomycetales bacterium
Lineage: Bacteria; Bacillati; Actinomycetota; Actinomycetes; Actinomycetales
Description: partial 16S ribosomal RNA
Rfam family: Bacterial small subunit ribosomal RNA
Source: RNAcentral
CGGAGGUACUCGAGUGGCGAACGGGUGAGUAACACGUGGGUGAUCUGCCCUGCACUCUGGGAUAAGCCUGGGAAACUGGGUAUAAUACCGGAUAGGACCGCACUUUAGUGUGUGUGGUGGAAAGUUUUUUCGGUGUAGGAUGAGCCCGCGGCCUAUCAGCUUGUUGGUGGGGUAAUGGCCUACCAAGGCGGCGACGGGUAGCCGGACUGAGAGGUUGGUCGGCCACAUUGGGACUGAGAUACGGCCCAG